Molecule: ribosomal RNA, 494 nt
Filed under: uncultured bacterium
Lineage: Bacteria
Description: bacterial SSU rRNA
Rfam family: Bacterial small subunit ribosomal RNA
Source: RNAcentral
AAAGGAAUAGACGGGGACCCGCACAAGCGGUGGAGCAUGUGGUUUAAUUCGAUGCAACGCGAAGAACCUUACCUGGCCUUGACAUCUGUCGAAUCCCGCAGAGAUGCGGGAGUGCCUUCGGGAACGACAAGACAGGUGCUGCAUGGCUGUCGUCAGCUCGUGUCGUGAGAUGUUGGGUUAAGUCCCGCAACGAGCGCAACCCUUGUCCUUAGUUGCCAUCAUUCAGUUGGGAACUCUAAGGAGACCGCCGGUGACAAACCGGAGGAAGGUGGGGAUGACGUCAAGUCAUCAUGGCCUUUAUGGCCAGGGCUACACACGUGCUACAAUGGCAGGUACAGAGGGAAGCCAACGCGCGAGCGGGAGCCAAUCCCAGAAAGCCUGUCGUAGUCCGGAUCGGAGUCUGCAACUCGACUCCGUGAAGUCGGAAUCGCUAGUAAUCGCAGAUCAGCAUUGCUGCGGUGAAUACGUUCCCGGGUCUUGUACACACCGCCCGU